GAUGUCAAUAGACGCCGUCCCUAAACUGGACGACCGCGCUGUAACCGCAAUUCGACUAUAGCGCGGUAGUGAAGUAGUUAAACAAACUUAACUGAGAUGUCACACAGAUGUCUCAAAAGGUUGAAUUGCCGGUCACAUUGGGUGGGGCACAAAAUGCCUUUCACUGUGCUGCGCUGAUAAAAAGUACUACAUGCAGACCUUUUUCUCAGCGCAGCGUAUUGAACUGGGCACAUAGGAGACGAGGCAUUUUGACUUGUCCAUGCGGUAGGACUGCGCUGGAAUAGCCGCCCAACUCAGUCCCACCUUAUCUGGUGUGAAUAUACCCUUAUAAAUGUCCUCUAAACGCAUGUAAACAAUGAGCCAGUGUGAAUGAGGCCUAAUUCCUCUCAGAGGAGACCUCUCCUGUGUGUAAAUAACUUAAACGCAGGUGCGUUCUUGUGAAUGUAAACAUUCAUAAAAUGAUUUGUUUUUACACAACAUUCUCCCCGCCUGGUGUACAGAGCCGACGUCUUCAGCACACAGAAUAUUUGGCAAUGUGCGGCUGAGAGGAGGGCGUAGAGGAGGAGGAGGAGGAGGACAGGAAGGGCUGGGAGGAGAUCAUCAUAUUUUACUCCACUGUACUGAAGAGAAGUUCAUACAACCUAUAAGUGACAGAGACCUGACUGGAUCUCCGAGCGACCGUCACCAUGCAACAGCCCAGCGUGCCCGUCCAGGAAAAUACUGUCCUCACCACCGGGGCCGGAGUUCCCAUUGGUGACAAACUUAAUGUCCUUACGGCCGGCCCUCGGGGGCCACUGUUGAUGCAGGAUGUGGUGUUCAUUGAUGAGAUGGCGCAUUUUGGCCGGGAGAGGAUCCCUGAGCGAGUGGUACACGCUAAAGGAGCAGGUGAGAUAUUGUACCACGGACCCUAAGAUCAGCCUCUCUAUCCCAGUUGUCUGGAUUGGAGAGUGUAACGGUCACCACCGUUUACGACAUUCCAUUCCACCAACCCACGACAGCUUAUCUGACACUCCACAAUCUAGCAGACACGAUCCAUCCCAUUCCCCAAAUAACCGAGACACAAGCUCUAGUUACUGGUUUCAAAAUGUAUGAAUGACUUUAAUGGUUCCUUAGCUUUCUUAUAUACAGUACAGCAUGUUAAAGU
Molecule: RNA transcript, 1144 nt
Organism: Rana temporaria (common frog)
Lineage: Eukaryota; Metazoa; Chordata; Amphibia; Anura; Ranidae
Gene name: catalase-like
Exons: 2
Source: RefSeq, a predicted model, not a curated record